GACGAACGCUGGCGGCGUGCCUAAUACAUGCAAGUCGAGCGAACCCGGGGUGCUUGCACCCUGAGGGUUAGCGGCGGACGGGUGAGUAACACGUGGGGAACCUGCCUUGCUGUCUGGGAUAACACCGGGAAACCGGUGCUAAUACCGGAUGUCCCCUUCCCGGCACCUGCCGGAGAGGGAGAAGGCGGCUUUGAGCCGCCGCAGCAAGAGGGGCCCGCGGCGCAUUAGUUAGUUGGCAGGGUAACGGCCUCCCAAGGCGACGAUGCGUAGCCGACCUGAGAGGGUGAUCGGCCACACUGGGACUGAGACACGGCCCAGACUCCUACGGGAGGCAGCAGUAGGGAAUCAUCCGCAAUGGACGAAAGUCUGAGGGUGCAACGCCGCGUGAGUGAUGAAGGUUUUCGGAUCGUAAAGCUCUGUUGUGAGGGAAGAACAGCUUCCGGAGGAAAUGCCGGAGGUUUGCCGGUACCUCACCAGAAAGCCCCGGCUAACUACGUGCCAGCAGCCGCCGUAA
RNAcentral lists this ribosomal RNA (514 nucleotides) under uncultured bacterium. RNAcentral's name for it is "partial 16S ribosomal RNA". It matches the Rfam family "Bacterial small subunit ribosomal RNA", at positions 28 to 523 of the family's 1533-position model. The record is from RNAcentral.